UAAACAUUGACAGUAAACUACACCCACUGUCCGCCUGGGAACUACGAGCACCAGCUUAAAACCCAAAGGACUUGGCGGUGCUUUAGACCCACCUAGAGGAGCCUGUCCUAGAACCGAUAAUCCCCGUUAAACCUCACCCUUCCUUGUUCUUUUCAGCCUAUAUACCACCGUCGUCAGCUCACCCUGUGAAGGCCCAAUAGUAAGCGUAAUCGGCACAGCCCCAAACGUCAGGUCGAGGUGUAGCCUAUGGAAGGGGAAGAGAUGGGCUACAUUCACUGAUACAGUGAAUACGGAUGAUCACCCUGAAACGGGUGUCUGAAGGAGGAUUUAGCAGUAAGCAAAAAAUAGAGUGUUUUGCUGAAGUUGGC
RNAcentral lists this ribosomal RNA (368 nucleotides) under Heniochus pleurotaenia (phantom bannerfish). Its description in RNAcentral is "partial 12S ribosomal RNA". It matches the Rfam family "Bacterial small subunit ribosomal RNA", at positions 801 to 1372 of the family's 1533-position model. The record is from RNAcentral. Lineage: Eukaryota; Metazoa; Chordata; Actinopteri; Chaetodontiformes; Chaetodontidae.